Molecule: transfer RNA, 77 nt
Filed under: Chloroflexota bacterium
Lineage: Bacteria; Bacillati; Chloroflexota
Also listed under: 2 other names
Description: Chloroflexi bacterium tRNA-Pro
Rfam family: tRNA
About the family: Transfer RNA (tRNA) molecules are approximately 80 nucleotides in length.
Source: RNAcentral
CGGGGAGUGGCGCAGUCUGGCAGCGCGCUUCGUUCGGGACGAAGAGGCCGGAGGUUCAAAUCCUCUCUCCCCGACCA